This 380-nucleotide ribosomal RNA is filed under the name uncultured eukaryote. RNAcentral describes it as "partial 18S ribosomal RNA". It matches the Rfam family "Eukaryotic small subunit ribosomal RNA", at positions 592 to 976 of the family's 1831-position model. The record is from RNAcentral.
CAAUAGCGUAUAUUAAAGUUGUUGCGGUUAAAAAGUUCGUAGUUGGAUUUCUGCCAAGGACGACCGGUCCGCCCUCUGGGUGAGUAUCUGGCUUGGCCUGGGCAUCUUCUUGGAGAACGUUGCUGCACUUCACUGUGUGGUGCGGUAUCCAGGACCUUUACUUUGAGGAAAUUAGAGUGUUUCAAGCAGGCUUCCGCCUUGAAUACAUUAGCAUGGAAUAAUAAGAUAGGACCUCGGUUCUAUUUUGUUGGUUUCUAGAGCUGGGGUAAUGAUUAAUAGGGAUAGUUGGGGGCAUUCGUAUUUAACUGUCAGAGGUGAAAUUCUUGGAUUUGCUAAAGACGGACUACUGCGAAAGCAUUUGCCAAGGAUGUUUUCAUUGA